This is a long non-coding RNA of Coccinella septempunctata (seven-spotted ladybird), 942 nucleotides long. RefSeq lists it as uncharacterized. Lineage: Eukaryota; Metazoa; Arthropoda; Insecta; Coleoptera; Coccinellidae. The record is from RefSeq and is a predicted model, not a curated record. The transcript is spliced from 2 exons.
UAGAUAUCUUUCACCUUUUCCUAGUUUGUAAGUUUUAGCUUUAAGUCGCCUUCAGCGUUUUCAUUGUCCUCGAAAUUUCAAAUAGCCUUCAGCAUUUUACCUCUCGAAUCGCCUUCAGCCUUCUUCAUUUUCACAUUAUUUUCAAGUAGCCUUCACUGUGUUCAGCCUUCAGCAUGUUUUAUAAAAAAAAAUUUUGCAAAUUUUUUUUCUUUCCUGGUGAGAGGUGUGUGCAACGACUUGCACGCCCAUGCUUGACACCUUAUUGUUGCAACGCCGCUGAUUUUCGCGAACUACAUCUUUACGUUGACACACAUUAGCUCUGUGUCUCGCGCCUCGGUAAUCUUUCAUUUGUCUGCGCAUUGAAAAUUUCUCGAAGGUUCUUCCUUUUCCGCUUUUUCCCUCAAGGAAGAAGGUUAUCUGUCGAAAUAUCGUAUCGGAAUUCAUCGAUUGAUUAUUCUGAAAUUAAUGAAUUUUAAGUUGGCGAGGUUAACAAUAUUGUCUCGCUUUUUGGUCCGGAGCUCAAAUUUUUGGUACGGAGCUCAAAUUUUUGGACUGGAACUCCAAUUUCUGUACCGGAGCUGGCUGCUUAUGUGUUUGACAAGAAUUUGGAAUGCAACUUUGGCUUGAGGCACAGCAUUUGAACGGAGCUUGAGGCUUAAUAGAAUUUGGACAGAAAUGCAGGUGUCUGACUCUGAAAGUACGAUUUUGGUUUAAAGCAGAAUCAUCAACCUUGGGCUGAAAUUCAACUCUACGCUGCACAUUAUCGAAUACUACAGGAAACCCACGUCCAAAGGGACAGAUCUGUUGCUUGAACUCACUUAAGCUAAGUAGAUCUAAGUUGUGAAAUUUUGAGAGACUGUAAACUUUAAAUUUCUGUCAUUACGAGUGAUUUUCAGAUUGUACAUUGUAAUUAUUUUAAAUAAUAUAUUGUGAAAAACCUGA